Molecule: unclassified non-coding RNA, 350 nt
Filed under: soil metagenome
Description: partial contains 5.8S ribosomal RNA, internal transcribed spacer 2, and large subunit ribosomal RNA
Rfam family: 5.8S ribosomal RNA (bases 1-120)
Source: RNAcentral
GAUGAAGAACGUAGCGAAAUGCGAUAAGUAAUGUGAAUUGCAGAAUUCAGUGAAUCAUCGAAUCUUUGAACGCACAUUGCGCCCGCCAGUAUUCUGGCGGGCAUGCCUGUUCGAGCGUCAUUACAACCCUCAGGCCCCCGGGCCUGGCGUUGGGGAUCGGCGGAAGCCCCCUGCGGGCACAACGCCGUCCCCCAAAUACAGUGGCGGUCCCGCCGCAGCUUCCAUUGCGUAGUAGCUAACACCUCGCAACUGGAGAGCGGCGCGGCCACGCCGUAAAACACCCAACUUCUGAAUGUUGACCUCGAAUCAGGUAGGAAUACCCGCUGAACUUAAGCAUAUCAUAAGCGAGA